AAAGAUUAUGAAGUGUGUAAUUUGUACCCGAUCCAUAUAUAUUGGUAAUUUUUUUUUUCUCUCCCCCACCUGAUGCAUGUGGUUUUCCAAAAUUAAAAACCAAAAUCAUCAACAAGGCCCAUCAAAAUCCAAAGCGCGCCUGGCGCGUUCUUUCUUCCCCUUCGCGAUGAGCUCUUCUGUGGCUCCUCUUCUUCUCAUUUUCUCUUUCUCAGUCUUGCUCUCUAUCUUUUCAUGCUCAAGCGAUGAUACUACAUUCAACGGCAUUGAUUUGGAAAAUCCAGUUAUUGAUGUCAUUCCAUCUCCCCUCACUGCUUAUACAUCAUCUUCUCAUGGUUCCAAAGAUGUUUUAUUGUGUGAACGCAUUCGAGUUGCUGGUCAGUCAAGAUUGGAACUUGGGAGUUAUGCCAGUGCAUAUCAGGUUAAAUUGGUCCCAUCUGCAGUAAUUCUUGAGAGUGCACAACAAAAUUCAAAUUUGUUUUCACCAGAAUGCUUCACGUGGUAUGUGUCAAUGUGAAACCGAUGAAUGGAAAACUGUCCACAAUGAGCUUUGGAGCUCUGUAAUGUCACCUUAUGAGGACAGAUAUGUUGAAGUGAAGUUUGUUGAUAAAUUGCUGGUUAUGUGACGGUAACAGUUGAUAAAGAGUUUCAAAGAUGGCGUCUCUUUUGUCUUGCUUUUGGUUUUGUUUUAUUGCUGUUGGCACCAGUGGUCAGCAGUUGGGUUCCCUUCUAUUAUAGCAGUUCAAUGGCUGCUGGAGUUUUUCUUGCCAUUAUUAUCCUUCGUUUUCAGGGGAUGAAAUUAUUACCAACUGGGAGGAAAAAUGUCUUCUACCUCACUUUAUAUGGAUCGGUGCUUGGAGCUGGUUCCUUCCUGUUACAUCACUUUUCAAUGUUGGUCAAUUCAAUUCUUGUCAGUUUUGGGCUGAGUGAAGAGAUGCACAACCCUGUAUGUCCUACUACCAUUAUGUUUAUAUAAUGAAGACUUGUUUACCCAAAGUAAUUGGCUUCAUUUGGUCUGGAAUGUACUGUAUUUCAAUUUUUUAGUGAUGUAGUAUAAUAAAUAGACUAAGAGUUUGUUAAAUAGCUUCUUAGUUGUAGUAUAUAAACAGGUGAUGUAAUACCCAUUGUACUUAGAUUUGGAAUGAAUAAUAUAUAUUGUGAUUGGAGUA
Non-coding RNA from Camellia sinensis, 1166 nucleotides. NCBI's taxonomy places the organism in Eukaryota, Viridiplantae, Streptophyta, Magnoliopsida, Ericales, Theaceae. The record is from RefSeq and is a predicted model, not a curated record.